This is a long non-coding RNA of Musa acuminata AAA Group (dessert banana), 3120 nucleotides long. RefSeq lists it as uncharacterized. Lineage: Eukaryota; Viridiplantae; Streptophyta; Magnoliopsida; Zingiberales; Musaceae. The transcript has 3 exons. The record is from RefSeq and is a predicted model, not a curated record.
GCCGGUCAUGCGUCGCGAUCUCGGUGGCUCCGCCGAUCGCGCGGCUCUGCUCCGUUCGACUCCGCCCGGUUCUCGCUGGCUCUUGAUCCUCCCGUUGCAUCAAAAUGUUUUUUUCUCUUUGCUGCUUUCGGUACCAUUACCAGAGUUUGUGGAUUAAAAAUUUGGAUACUUCAGAAGCUAAAAUGGCAGAAGAAUUUUAGAAGAUAUGGGCAUGAAAAGAAUCCCAGUAUUCUAGAAGUCUGAGGUAAAGAUGAAAUUCCUGAUCACAAUUUCAUUAUCAUCUGAAAGGAGAACUAUGGAGAUGUGUGGUUGUUUAAGUUGAAUAAUUAGUGACAAAAAAGGCUAUGAACAUGUGUCGUCUUUAUUUGCUCUCUCUAUUUCAAAAUCUGCGUUUCAUGAUAUGGCUAAUCAUUUUUAUGGUAUAGCUGGUAGAACAUUGUCACUGGAAAAUGGAUGCAGUUUAUAACCAAACAGACAUAUGAUGUUUCCUCUCUCUCUCUCUCUCUCUCUCUCUCUCUCUCUCUCUCUCAUGCUCGAUAUUUUACAGCAAUAUUUUUUAUGUAUUAUAGUGGCUUUCAUGCAUAGUUAUGGCCUUCUUUAGAUCCUUACCUGUUCCGUUUUUUCGUUUCACUAUCUUUUGGCCUUCCAUCAUUGGCUGAAGCAUGCUUUGACGUACUCUUUUCUGAUGCAUGUGAAUUAUGCUCUUAUGUUUCUGUAUUGCAUCCUUCCUUUGGGAUGUUUGAAUGACUAUCCCCGGUAUUUGGGCUCUAGGACCUGGUGAUUUUGUUAAUUCAUUGAAUUUUAUCAUGCACCAUUCAUCUCAAAUUUUCUUGACUAAUUGACUUUGCAUUGCAUGAUUGUUAUAUUUUUAUAAAACAAAAAAGAAAGUAAGAGAGAAGAUAAAGCAAUUGUAGUGUAGUAAACUGGAUAAGGUAUCAUUUGGGGAUAGUAAGCAUGCUUAGCCUAUCCAUGAAAUAUCCAAGUGCCAAAUCCUGACAUAAUUCUAUGCUAUUAUCUGUGGCAAGUGAUAAAAUCCAACCAAUUUCAGCUCUUCCACUAAUUGAAUAGCCUUUAUGAAACUGUUUUGUAGGAAAACAUGUUCUCUGCUUACUGUGGUGCAUUCUUUAUUCCCUCUCUUAUCUGAUGCAGGGUUACUCUAUUUUUCUUGUUGCCUAAUGAAACUUUACUGGCUUUUGUGUGGUUGGCAGGUUGGUAGGGAGACCUCUCUCCCUUGUUGUGAUCCACCAUCUGCAUAUUCUUAUUUCAGUUUGUAGAUGAUGAAAUGCUAACAAGAGCCAUCUCUUGGUUAUGAAAUUUAGCUUUCUUUCAUAAGCUACUUUUGUGUUUGCCAUCUUACUUUAUCUGAUAUCUUAUCCACAACUUUGUUCCCUCUGUUUUAAUCUGAUAGUUUGUCUAGAACCAUUAUCCUCUGCAGAUUCGAGAUGCCAUGAUCUAUCAGUUCAGUGUUUGUGCUCAUUUAAAUCUGUGACAUGCAAAAGGGAGCAAAAAUAUGUUUGGCAUGCCAUUGGUAUAGACCCAAAGUUACUGAAACAAUUGAAUCUCAUAAAUCCUGUACGGUUAUCCUUAGGCACUUUGCUUCGUUUUAAUCCGCUUACUAAACUUCACAAAUUAAUUGGUAUUCUACAGGAUACACAAGGUGCAAAAUGUAGGACGUAUAGUCUGGUGAACAUUUUCCAGAAUGUGGAGAGAGAGAGAUUUUAAUUGCAUAUUUUUCAUUGCUUUUGACUUUCUACUUGGAGCUAAGCAUGGAGUUAGCUGGUAUGACCACUAAAUUCAUCUUGCGUUUUUCCACGUGACCAACCUGUUCAGCAUGCAGAGAUUACUCACCUGAGGUAGCCUAUAUGAAUUUUGUGAAGGCUUGAAGGAUCAAAAUUUUUUAUUGACACUUUAUCUAAAAUAGUUAACAAAAGAGGUGGUCUAUACUCUAUGGUCUCAUUCCAGAUUCCUAGAACAGAUUUUACAUUCAAAUCUACUUCUUCCAAUUACCACAUCGAGGUAAUUGCAAAGUUAUACCAUUUGAGGUCCUUGAAUGUUGUGCUUUAGGCUAUCAUUGGAUUUAUUGGAAAGUUUACUCUAUUUUUUCUAUAGUUCUAAUUCAGGAGUUUUAGUUAAUUAUAUGCUGGGAUGAUGGUUUAAGGUAAACGAUAAAUUACUCUGUUCCCAUCUUUAUGUUUGUUGUACUUAAAUGCUAGGAUAAUUCGGAUCCUUUUCUGUUGCUGAUUCUUCAUGCUUUUGAGCUUGCCUGGUCUCAAAAUCAGAUUUUUCAUGUGCUCCUCAAUUAAGUUUUGGUGGAUUUCUUCACUUUUUGUGACCUAGAUGACUAGGAUCUAGAUCAUGAAUCUGGAUCUUUUGCUUGCAUCGAUAAGAUUGCGUAUAUAUUGAUCCCAAGAGACUUGUGCUUUAGAUUACAAGUUGUCGUCGUUUAUAUGUAUACUUAAAAGUCAUACAUGUUACAUAGGCGAAUUUGUCAACGUUCAUUUGUGCUACUCUUCAAGUUUCAUCCAUGCAUGUAAUUUGUAUUUUAUUUUAUUUAUUUACUUGAUCCUUUUUUUUUCUUAUACCAGAGCCUUCUUAGAGCCUUCUUUUCCCAUACUUUGGUGGACUACAAGCCCAAGGAUGAUGGUGAUGUUUCCGGAUUCACACCCCAGUUCCCUUUCUCCACCCUCAGCUACUCCUACAUCAUUCAGCUGACAUUGCCAGUCAGGCCACGUUCUGCCUUGAGAUGAAACCUACUCCGCUUUUCACGGGGAAGAUCGUAAUCAAUGUCUUAACCAUGUGUUGCAUGAUGAAGAGUCUGCUCCGUCGGCCAAAACCAGGGCGGACUCUUAUGGCCAUGCAACGCCGCGUGGGGGAGUUGCUCUUUUCGACUUCGACACGUAGAUGCGCCAGAUUGCGACGUGGGCGCCAUACCACUAUCCUUCGCUGUGGCACAGCACGACAGACUGACGACGCACCGAAGGACGCAGCUUCCCUGGCUCCGGCCGGCGCGGUAUGGAAGGACAAGAGGUUGGUUUCUUCUUAAUUUUACCUUUUGGAAUUUAAAGUCGUGUUAUUUUUCAAAUUUAUCUAAAUAGUUAAUUUCAAAAUCGAUUCUAUCCC